GAUUUAGCUGCCCUUAUCUCCUGAGGUGGGAAGCUUGCCAGCCUCACUGCAGCUCUCUGACAUGGGUGAGAAAUCCUCACUGGAUUCCAGUCUGUUGCCUAAUGAAUAAGGAGAGCAUGGAAGGAGCAGACAUCUGGAUUGCCUGUGACCAGGACAAUGCGCAUGGAGUCCUUGCUGCAGGGACUCCUGCAGGGUCUGGGGGCCGCUCAUCUGGAGCUGCACAGUUGUACAUGGAGUGGUUGGUGACUUCAGCUGCUGCGUAGUGAGCAAAUGCAUUGCCCCCUGCUUCCUUCUAGGUCAAAAAUGAAAAGAUAGCUAAUUAAAUCAUGCUUUUAAUGCUAUUUGAAUUAUAAAACAAAA
Molecule: long non-coding RNA, 360 nt
Organism: Cygnus olor (mute swan)
Lineage: Eukaryota; Metazoa; Chordata; Aves; Anseriformes; Anatidae
Exons: 3
Source: RefSeq, a predicted model, not a curated record